RNAcentral lists this unclassified non-coding RNA (218 nucleotides) under uncultured Tomentella. Its description in RNAcentral is "sequence contains ITS2". Lineage: Eukaryota; Fungi; Basidiomycota; Agaricomycetes; Thelephorales; Thelephoraceae. The record is from RNAcentral.
ACACCUCAACUCUCACGGUUUGCCGUGAUGAGCUUGGACUUUGGGGGACUUGCUGGCCUGCGGUCGGCUCCCCUCAAAUGGAUCAGCUUUCCAGUGUUUGGUGGAGUCACAGGUGUGAUAAAUAUCUACACAUGUGGUUUUCUGCCAGGUAACCUUCAGCAAUGGGGGUUUGCUGGGGCUCAUAAACGUCUCUCCUCAGUGAAGACAGCUCUGUGAAA